GACGAACGCUGGCGGCGUGCUUAACACAUGCAAGUCGAACGAAAAUACCAAGCUUGCUUGGUUGAUUAGUGGCGAACGGGUGAGUAACACGUGAGUAACCUGCCCCUUACUUUCCUGGAUAACUGCUCGAAAGGGUAGCUAAUACGGGAUAUUCUGACCAGCCUGCAUGGGUUGGUUUGGAAAGGUUGUUUUUCUGGUAAGGGAUGGGCUCGCGGCCUAUCAGCUUGUUGGUGGGGUGAUGGCCUACCAAGGCUUUGACGGGUAGCCGGCCUGAGAGGGUGGACGGUCACACUGGGACUGAGAUACGGCCCAGACUCCUACGGGAGGCAGCAGUGGGGAAUAUUGCACAAUGGGCGCAAGCCUGAUGCAGCGACGCCGCGUGAGGGAUGAAGGCCUUCGGGUUGUAAACCUCUUUCGUCAGGGAACAAGGCAUUGCCUUUUUUGGUGGUGUUGAGGGUACCUGGAUAAGAAGCGCCGGCUAACUACGUGCCAGCAGCCGCGGUAAUACGUAGGGCGCAAGCGUUGUCCGGAAUUAUUGGGCGUAAAGAGCUCGUAGGCGGCUGGUCGCGUCUGUCGUGAAAACUUCCGGCUUAACCGGGGGCUUGCGGUGGGUACGGGCCGGCUAGAGUGCGGUAGGGGUAACUGGAACUCCUGGUGUAGCGGUGGAAUGCGCAGAUAUCAGGAAGAACACCGAUGGCGAAGGCAGGUUACUGGGCCGUUACUGACGCUGAGGAGCGAAAGCGUGGGGAGCGAACAGG
Molecule: ribosomal RNA, 758 nt
Filed under: uncultured Actinomyces sp.
Lineage: Bacteria; Bacillati; Actinomycetota; Actinomycetes; Actinomycetales; Actinomycetaceae
Description: bacterial SSU rRNA
Rfam family: Bacterial small subunit ribosomal RNA
Source: RNAcentral